AACGAACGCUGGCGGCAUGCCUAACACAUGCAAGUCGAACGAGACCUUCGGGUCUAUUGGCGCACGGGUGCGUAACGCGGGGGAACCUGCCCUUAGGUUCGGAAUAACUCCCCGAAAGGGGUGCUAAUACCGGAUAAUGUCUUCGGACCAAAGAUUUAUCGCCGUUGGAUGGGCCCGCGUUGGAUUAGCUAGUUGGUAGGGUAAAAGCCUACCAAGGCGACGAUCCAUAGCUGGUCUGAGAGGAUGAUCAGCCACACUGGGACUGAGACACGGCCCAGACUCCUACGGGAGGCAGCAGUGGGGAAUAUUGGACAAUGGGCGAAAGCCUGAUCCAGCAAUGCCGCGUGAGUGAUGAAGGCCUUAGGGUUGUAAAGCUCUUUUACCCGGGAUGAUAAUGACAGUACCGGGAGAAUAAGCUCCGGCUAACUCCGUG
Molecule: ribosomal RNA, 433 nt
Filed under: uncultured bacterium
Lineage: Bacteria
Description: partial 16S ribosomal RNA
Rfam family: Bacterial small subunit ribosomal RNA
Source: RNAcentral